GAUGAACGCUGGCGGCGUGCUUAACACAUGCAAGUCGAACGAAGCACUUUAUUUGAUUUCCUUCGGGACUGAUUAUUUUGUGACUGAGUGGCGGACGGGUGAGUAACGCGUGGGUAACCUGCCUUGUACAGGGGGAUAACAGUUGGAAACGGCUGCUAAUACCGCAUAAGCGCACAGCAUCGCAUGAUGCAGUGUGAAAAACUCCGGUGGUAUGGGAUGGGCCCGCGUCUGAUUAGGCAGUUGGCGGGGUAACGGCCCACCAAACCGACGAUCAGUAGCCGGCCUGAGAGGGCGACCGGCCACAUUGGGACUGAGACACGGCCCAAACUCCUACGGGAGGCAGCAGUGGGGAAUAUUGCACAAUGGGGGAAACCCUGAUGCAGCGACGCCGCGUGAGCGAAGAAGUAUUUCGGUAUGUAAAGCUCUAUCAGCAGGGAAGAUAAUGACGGUACCUGA
This 456-nucleotide ribosomal RNA is filed under the name uncultured bacterium. RNAcentral's name for it is "bacterial SSU rRNA". It matches the Rfam family "Bacterial small subunit ribosomal RNA", at positions 28 to 482 of the family's 1533-position model. The record is from RNAcentral.